RNAcentral lists this transfer RNA (85 nucleotides) under Marsilea crenata. RNAcentral describes it as "tRNA-Leu". It matches the Rfam family "tRNA". Rfam says of the family: Transfer RNA (tRNA) molecules are approximately 80 nucleotides in length. Their secondary structure includes four short double-helical elements and three loops (D, anti-codon, and T loops). Further hydrogen bonds mediate the characteristic L-shaped molecular structure. tRNAs have two regions of fundamental functional importance: the anti-codon, which is responsible for specific mRNA codon recognition, and the 3' end, to which the tRNAs corresponding amino acid is attached (by aminoacyl-tRNA synthetases). tRNAs cope with the degeneracy of the genetic code in two manners: having more than one tRNA (with a specific anti-codon) for a particular amino acid; and 'wobble' base-pairing, i.e. permitting non-standard base-pairing at the 3rd anti-codon position. The record is from RNAcentral. Lineage: Eukaryota; Viridiplantae; Streptophyta; Polypodiopsida; Salviniales; Marsileaceae.
GGGGAUAUGGCGGAAUGGUAGACGCUGCGGACUCAAAAUCCGUUGGUCCUUAAAGACCGUGAGGGUUCAAGUCCCUCUAUCCCCA